ACAUAUAUAUAUAUAUAUAUAACCAUGCUGGGAAAGAGGAUCGGGUUUAGUAUUCCAUUAAAACAUUUACCUGGGUUGUGUAGCUUUGUCGUCCUAAACUACCCAUGGGCUAUAUGAGUUCAGCUGUCUCUACUGAUAGGGUCCAGAGCGUGAAGCCACCAGGCUAGGGAAGAAAACCUGGAAUGACUAGUAUAUCCCCUAAAGUAUAUAGUGUGAAAUCAUGCAUACGGUUACUAGGACCAAACCUCACAUCGGCAAAUAUGAGUUUCUAUUUUAGAUCUACCCGGGACCUCCAC
RNAcentral lists this long non-coding RNA (296 nucleotides) under Capsicum annuum. RNAcentral's name for it is "long non-coding RNA (CANN_LNC021701)". The record is from RNAcentral. Lineage: Eukaryota; Viridiplantae; Streptophyta; Magnoliopsida; Solanales; Solanaceae.